ACGGGACCCGCACAAGCGGUGGAUGAUGUGGUUUAAUUCGAUGCAACGCGAAAACCUUACCCACCUUUGACAUGUACGGAAUCCUUUAGAGAUAGAGGAGUGCUCGAAAGAGAGCCGUAACACAGGUGCUGCAUGGCUGUCGUCAGCUCGUGUCGUGAGAUGUUGGGUUAAGUCCCGCAACGAGCGCAACCCUUGUCAUUAGUUGCUACGAAAGGGCACUCUAAUGAGACUGCCGGUGACAAACCGGAGGAAGGUGGGGAUGACGUCAAGUCCUCAUGGCCCUUAUAGGUGGGGCUACACACGUCAUACAAUGGCUGGUACAAAGGGUUGCCAACCCGCGAGGGGGAGCCAAUCCCAUAAAGCCAGUCGUGUCCGGAUCGCAGUCUGCAACUCGACUGCGUGAAGUCGGAAUCGCUAGUAAUCGUGGAUCAGCAUGUCACGGUGAAUACGUUCCCGGGUCUU
Molecule: ribosomal RNA, 462 nt
Filed under: uncultured Comamonas sp.
Lineage: Bacteria; Pseudomonadati; Pseudomonadota; Betaproteobacteria; Burkholderiales; Comamonadaceae
Description: bacterial SSU rRNA
Rfam family: Bacterial small subunit ribosomal RNA
Source: RNAcentral